CCUACGGGUGGCUGCAGUGAGGAAUAUUGGUCAAUGGGCGCAAGCCUGAACCAGCCAAGUCGCGUGAGGGAAGACGGCCCUACGGGUUGUAAACCUCUUUUGCCGGGGAGCAAGCCUGAGCACGUGUGCCCAGGCGGAGAGUACCCGGAGAAAAAGCAUCGGCUAACUCCGUGCCAGCAGCCGCGGUAAUACGGAGGAUGCGAGCGUUAUCCGGAGUUAUUGGGUUUAAAGGGUGCGCAGGCGGCCUGUGAAGUCAGCGGUAAAAGCCCGGGGCUCAACCCCGGCGAGCCGUUGAAACUGGCGGGCUGGAGUUGGAGAGAAGUACGCGGAAUGCGCGGUGUAGCGGUGAAAUGCUUAGAUAUCGCGCAGAACCCCGAUUGCGAAGGCAGCGUACCGGCUCCACACUGACGCUGAGGCACGAAAGCGUGGGUAUCGAACAGGAUUAGAUACCCCUGUAGUC
Molecule: ribosomal RNA, 460 nt
Filed under: uncultured bacterium
Lineage: Bacteria
Description: partial 16S ribosomal RNA
Rfam family: Bacterial small subunit ribosomal RNA
Source: RNAcentral